ACUGGUCAUGGUGGCGUGAGCCUGUAAUGCCAGCUACUCAGGAGGCUGAGGCAGGAGAAUCGCUUGAACCCAGGUGGUGGAGGCUGCAGUGAGCUGAGAUCACACCAUUGCACUCCAGCNNNNNNNNNNGCUGGAGUGCAAUGGUGUGAUCUCAGCUCACUGCAGCCUCCACCACCUGGGUUCAAGCGAUUCUCCUGCCUCAG
This is a non-coding RNA of Chlorocebus sabaeus (green monkey), 203 nucleotides long. It matches the Rfam family "Metazoan signal recognition particle RNA". From Rfam's summary of the family: The signal recognition particle (SRP) is a universally conserved ribonucleoprotein. The record is from Rfam. NCBI's taxonomy places the organism in Eukaryota, Metazoa, Chordata, Mammalia, Primates, Cercopithecidae.